This 253-nucleotide ribosomal RNA is filed under the name Bacillus sp. (in: firmicutes). RNAcentral describes it as "partial 16S ribosomal RNA". It matches the Rfam family "Bacterial small subunit ribosomal RNA", at positions 524 to 776 of the family's 1533-position model. RNAcentral also lists the same sequence under 2 other names. The record is from RNAcentral. Lineage: Bacteria; Bacillati; Bacillota; Bacilli; Caryophanales; Bacillaceae.
UACGUAGGUGGCAAGCGUUGUCCGGAAUUAUUGGGCGUAAAGCGCGCGCAGGCGGUUUCUUAAGUCUGAUGUGAAAGCCCCCGGCUCAACCGGGGAGGGUCAUUGGAAACUGGGGAACUUGAGUGCAGAAGAGGAGAGUGGAAUUCCACGUGUAGCGGUGAAAUGCGUAGAGAUGUGGAGGAACACCAGUGGCGAAGGCGACUCUCUGGUCUGUAACUGACGCUGAGGCGCGAAAGCGUGGGGAGCGAACAGG